Molecule: ribosomal RNA, 910 nt
Filed under: uncultured archaeon
Lineage: Archaea
Description: bacterial SSU rRNA
Rfam family: Archaeal small subunit ribosomal RNA
Source: RNAcentral
CCGGUUGAUCCCGCCGGAGGCGACCGCUGUGGGAGUCCGAUUAAGCCAUGCGAGUCGAGAGAAUAAGAUUCUCGGCAUACCGCUCAGUAACACGUGGAUAACCUGCCCUGUGCUGGGGGAUAACCUCGCGAAAGUGAGAACAAUACCCCAUGGGUCACUACGCCUGGAACGGUGGGUGGCUGAAAGCUCCGGCGGCACAGGAUGGGUCUGCGGCGUAUCAGGUUGUAGGGGGUGUGACGGACCUCCUAGCCUUCAACGCGUACGGGUUGUGAGAGCAAUUGCCCGGAGAUGGAUUCUGAGACACGAAUCCAGGCCCUACGGGGCGCAGCAGGCGCGAAAACUUGACAAUGCGAGAAAUCGUGAUCAGGGGACUCCAGUUGGCUGGAUCAAAAGUCCAGUCUGAACCGACUUUAAAUCGGUCGGGUAAUAGGGGCGGGAAAGACCGGUGCCAGCCGCCGCGGUAAUACCGGCGCCCCAAGUGGUCGUCACUAUUAUUGGGCCUAAAACGUCCGUAGCCGGUUUGGUAAAUCCGUGGGUAAAUCAGACAGCCCAACUGUCUGAAUUCUGCGGGGACUGCCAGACUUGAGACCGGGAGAGGUACGGGGUACCUGCGGGGUAGCGGUAAAAUGCGAUCAUCCCGUAGGGACCACCUGUUGCGAAGGCGCCGUACUAGAACGGAUCUGACGGUCAGGGACGAAGCCUAGGGGCACGAACCGGAUUAGAUACCCGGGUAGUCCUAGGUGUAAACGCUGUGGACUUGGUGUCGGGGACCUUCUGAGGGUUUCCGGUGCCGGAGUGAAGAUGUUAAGUCCACUGCCUGGGGAGUACGGUCGCAAGGCUGAAACUUAAAGGAAUUGGCGGGGGAGCACCGCAACGAGAGGAGCGUGCGGUUUAAUUGGAUCAACGCCGG